UUGACCUCAGCUCAGUCGUGAUUACCCGCUGAAUUUAAGCAUAUAACUAAGCGGAGGAAAAGAAACUAACGAGGACUCCCCCAGUAACGGCGAGUGAACGGGGAAAAGCCCAGCGCUGAAUCCAUUAGUCACUGGCUAUAUGGAAUUGUAGCGUAUAGGUGUAACUAUUCGGUUGUUUCGUUCACCCAAAGUCCCCUUGAGCGGGGCUAUAGUCCAAAGAAGGUGCUAGACCUGUACGGGUGAUGAAGCAAUCGAUGGGUUACUCCUUGGAGUCGGGUUGCCUGAGAUCGCAGCCCAAAGAGGGUGGUAAACCUCAUCUAAGGCUACAUAUGAUCACGAGACCGAUAGCAAACAAGUACCGUGAGGGAAAGUUGCAAAGAACUUUGAAGAGAGAGUUCAAGAGGGCGUGAAACCGCUGAGAAGGAAACGGAUAGAGUUAACGAAAUUCGGCGGCACUCAGCCGGUUGGCUUAGCGGCGUCGCGGUUUCGAGCCUCGAUGAGGGCGAGAACGUGACUAGCUGUUGAGUGCGUGAGACUGGUGUAUUGUCCGUCGGUAUGCGCCGAGAAUUUUGCUGUCGUGCGCUAAUGCUCUUAGAAGAGGACCACACCUUACGGGUGUGGAACCCUGCAUGAGUUGAGGCGUAUCGGUAGUAAAAGCUGUGUGUGCUAUCUCCGCUGUAGUGCAACGGUUGACAUGUGGCUAGUGUGGCUAUUGGGCGGUCGCAUGCGACUUGCUUAUGGUCAUUGCUGGUUCAUGGCAGUGCAGUUGCGCUGAGAUUAGCCUCUCGGUGUGAAAGUUGACCACCUAUCCGACCCGUCUUGAAACACGGACCAAGGAGUCUAGCAUAUGCGCGAGUCAUUGGGUGGUAAACCUAAAGGCGUAAUGAAAGUAAAGGUUGUCUUGAUACGACUGAUAUGGGAUCCGAAUGCUUUCAUGCAUCACGGCGCACCAUAGCCCCGUCCCCGUUGCUUGCAAUAGGGCGGAGGAAGAGCGCAUACGCUGGGACCCGAAAGAUGGUGAACUAUGCCUGAGCAGGAUGAAGCCAGAGGAAACUCUGGUGGAGGUCCGAAGCGGUUCUGACGUGCAAAUCGAUCGUCUGACUUGGGUAUAGGGGCGAAAGACUAAUCGAACCAUCUAGUAGCUGGUUCCCUCUGAAGUUUCCCCCAGGAUAGCUGGUGCUCGUACAAAGCAGUUAUAUUCGGUAAAGCGAAUGAUUAGAGGAAUUGGGGACGAAACGACCUCAACCUAUUCUCAAACUUUCAAUGGGUAUGACGUCUCGCUUGCUUAAUUUGAAGCGUAGACAUUGAAUGUGAGCACCAAGUGGGCCAUUUUUGGUAAGCAGAACUGGCGCUGUGGGAUGAACCAAACGUCGGGUUAAAGUGCCAAACUUCCCGCUCAUGAGACCCCAUGAAAGGCGUUGGUUGAUAUAGACAGCAGGACGGUGGCCAUGGAAGUCGGAAA
This 1462-nucleotide ribosomal RNA is filed under the name Strongyluris calotis. Its description in RNAcentral is "eukaryotic LSU rRNA". It matches the Rfam family "Eukaryotic large subunit ribosomal RNA", at positions 1 to 1267 of the family's 3401-position model. The record is from RNAcentral. Lineage: Eukaryota; Metazoa; Nematoda; Chromadorea; Rhabditida; Heterakidae.